Clostridium sp. DMHC 10 is the source of this 87-nucleotide non-coding RNA. The record is from Rfam. Lineage: Bacteria; Bacillati; Bacillota; Clostridia; Eubacteriales; Clostridiaceae.
GAAACAGUAUUCUUCUGAAACUGUAGCCUAAAUAAAAUUAAUUUAUAUUAUUCGACUUAUAUCCUUAAAGUGGAAUAAGAACGGAGG